GUGCUCGCUUCAGCAGCACAUAUACUAAAAUUAGAACAAUACAGAGAAGAUUAGCAUGGCCCCUGUGUAAGGCUGACACACAAAUUCGUGAAGCAUUCCAUUUUUUU
Molecule: small nuclear RNA, 107 nt
Filed under: Cavia aperea (Brazilian guinea pig)
Lineage: Eukaryota; Metazoa; Chordata; Mammalia; Rodentia; Caviidae
Source: RNAcentral